Molecule: ribosomal RNA, 1062 nt
Filed under: Nuttallides sp.
Lineage: Eukaryota; Foraminifera; Rotaliida; Epistomariidae
Description: SSU rRNA
Rfam family: Eukaryotic small subunit ribosomal RNA
Source: RNAcentral
AAGGGCACCACAAGAACGCGUGGAGCAUGUGGCUUAAUUUGACUCAACGCGCGAAAUCUUACCGGGUCCGGACACACUGAGGAUUGACAGGCAAUAUUAAUACAUAUUUUAUUUUUCGGAAUAAAUUUAUGUAUUAUGUUAAAUAUGCUAGUCCUUUCAUGAUUAUGUGAUAGGUGGUGCAUGGCCGUUCUUAGUUCGUGGAGUGAUCUGUCUGCUUAAUUGCGUUUCACUAAGGGCCUAUAAAUUUACGUGUGUUGCGGCACUUUGACCCCUCUGUUACUUCGUAGCAGAGCGCGCGUCUUAGUUUGCUUUGCUCGCACAAUUAGGUCCUGAAAGCAACGAACGUGACCGCAACCUCUUGUUGCCUUUAUACCAAACAUGUUUAUUAAUAAUUGUUUUUUAUUAAAUUUUUAUUGGUAUUCAUGAAAAAAGGCUUUUUAAACUAGAGGGACCGCUGUUACUUUCUUAAACCAGAGGAAGGUUGCGGCAAUAACAGGUCUGUGAUGCCCUUAGAUGUUCCGGGCUGCACACGUGCUACAAUGAUUAUUGCAGUGAGCAUCUCAUUUUUACACCCCGCAUGCGCGAGUCCAUUUAUUCUAUCUUUCGGGAUUGUUUUAAAUGUGUAUCUCUGCGCGCGGUAAAGCCUGCUUCGAAAGUAAGUGGGUAAUCAAUUAGAAGUAAUGAUUUCCUUUUUUUAGCACACAUAUAUACGGCGUUUAUGCCCGGGCUGCCUUGUUGUAGCUUUUGUGCGUAUAGAUGUUUUUUCCGUAUGUGCGAUUGUCAAUUCAUGGUGGGGACAGACCAUUGUUAAUUGUUGGUCUCGGUCUUAACUAGGAAUGCCUUGUACGGGUCUUUGGUUCAACAAACCACCCGGAAUACGUCCCUGCCCUUUGUACACACCGCCCGUCGCUCUUACCGAUGGACUUCUCUGUGAGUUUGAGGGACUGGGAACGCAAUGAAAUUUAUUUCUAUGCACACCUAUGGAAACUUAAACGAACAGUGUGGUCUAAAGGAAAGAGAAGUCGUAACAAGGCAUCGGUAGGUGAACCUGCAGAAGGAUCA